Molecule: transfer RNA, 84 nt
Filed under: Verrucomicrobiota bacterium
Lineage: Bacteria; Pseudomonadati; Verrucomicrobiota
Description: Verrucomicrobia bacterium (groundwater metagenome) tRNA-Leu
Rfam family: tRNA
About the family: Transfer RNA (tRNA) molecules are approximately 80 nucleotides in length. Their secondary structure includes four short double-helical elements and three loops (D, anti-codon, and T loops).
Source: RNAcentral
GCCCGGGUGGCGGAAUGGCAGACGCAACGGACUUAAAAUUCGUUGGCCCAAAAGGCCGUGAGGGUUCGAAUCCCUCCCCGGGCA